Long non-coding RNA from Rhinopithecus roxellana (golden snub-nosed monkey), 2775 nucleotides. RefSeq lists it as uncharacterized. The record is from RefSeq and is a predicted model, not a curated record. The transcript is spliced from 3 exons. Lineage: Eukaryota; Metazoa; Chordata; Mammalia; Primates; Cercopithecidae.
AAAAAAAAAAAAAAAAAAAUUGAUUCAAGUUUAUUUCAGUGUUUUUACUUUUUUUGUUAGUUGUAAAUAGCUUCUGUAAUAGUUCAGUGUUUUUAAGGUAUUAAAGACCUCUGAGAAGAAACAACAUACGAACUCAUAUCACCCAUGAAAUCGUAACAUGCCGGGGCCCUGGGGCUGGUCUGUGCAGACCUCAGAAGGAAGGCUCUCUCACAGCUGCUCAAGUCAAUCUGCUCCUCCAGGCCUCUAAUCUGAAUUCCCAGCAAGCUGCUAAAGACGACUGCCAUUUGCAAACACUUUUCUGCAUGAAUCAGGAUACUUUUCCAGACUGUGCCACCAAAGCAAACGGCCAAAAUGAAUGAAAGCUGGGGCCAACUGUGCUCCGAAAAAGCUGCCUGCAGCGCCCCCUUCAGACUCUGCUCAUCGCAACAGCCCUGUUGGUCCCAUGUUAUGCAUCUGGAUGAAUGGAUGUGAAUGUGGUUUUGCAUCACGGGCUGGAGCUUUUGUCUGUGUUAUGGAUCAAGGGUGGUGGGCCAUCUUCACUUGAAAAAAGGGGUCUGCUACAAAAACCAAGAUCGAAACUCUCUGGCACAGAAGACAACAGGGAAGACUGAGGCACAAAGUCACAGAGGACUUGGCUGGAAAGGCAUCAGUCUGGUGGGUCACUCAUUAGUACCCACGAUUUCUCGAGACUGGUGUGUCAGAAGCUAGCCCAAGAGGGUGGCCCAAAGUCGUCCUGCUUUGGUUCCACCGCAUCUGCAGUGACUUCUCCACUGAAGUCCUGAAGCCCUCAAAGUCAUCCAUGAAGGCUGGAAUCAACUUCUUCCAAAUGCUUGGAUAUUUUGACCUCCUCCCACAAAUCACAAAUGUUCCUUAAAUGCUCUCUGGAGGUUUUCAAUGUAUUUUGCCCGGAUCCAUCAGAGGAAUCACUGUCUAUGGCAGCUAAAGCCUUACAAAAUUGAUUUCUUCAAUAAUAAGACUGGAAACUUGAAAUUACUCCUUGAUCCUUGGCUCUAGAAUAAAUGUUGUGCUAGCAGGCAUGAAAAUACACAGCUCCCGGUACAUUUUCAUCAGCCCUGUUGGGUGACCGGUUGCCUUGUCAAUGAGCAGUCAUAUUUUGAAAGGAAUGUUUAUUCUGAGCAGUAGGUCUCAACAGUUGGCUUAAAAUACUCAGUAAACCACGUUAUAAGCAGAUGUGCUGUCAUCCAGGCUUUGUUAUUUCAUUUGUAGAACAGAGUGAGUACAUAAUUCUUCAAGGUUCUAGGUUUUUUUGGAAUGAUAACUGAGCAUUGGCUUCAACUUAAAGCCACCAGCUGCAUUAGCCCUAACAAGUCAGCCUGUCUUUUGAAGCCAUGCAUUGACUUCUUAGCUAUGAAAGUCCUAGAUGACAUCUUUUUCUGAUACAAAACUGUUUCAUCUACAUGGAAAAUCUGUGGUAGUGUGGCCACCUUCAUCAAUGAUCUUAGCUGGAUCUUCUGGAUAAAUUGCGGCAGCUUCUACACCAGCCCUGGUUGAUUCACCUUGCAUUUUUAUGUGAUGGAGAUGGCAUCUCCUUAAACCUCAUGAAGCAACCUCUGCUAGCUUCCAACUUUUCUUCUGCAGCUUCCUCACCUCUCUCAGCCUUCACAGAAUUGGAGAUUCAGAACCUUGGUCUGGAUUAGGCUUUGGCUUAAGGGAGUGUUAUGGCUUGUCGGAUCUUCUAUACCGACCUCUCAAACUUUCUCCAUUAUCAACAAUAAGGCUUUUUCACUUUCUUACCAUGUGUGUUCACUGGAAUAGUACUUCUGAUUUCCUUCAAUAGCUUUUCCUUGGCAUUCACAACUUGGCAAACCAGUGCAAGAGGCCUAGCUUUCAGCCUGGCUGGGCUUUCAACCUGCCCUCCUCACUAAGCUUAAUUAUUUCUAGUUUUUCAUUUAAAGAUAAAGACCUGUAACUCUUCCUUUCACUUGAACACUUACAGACCACUGUAGGAUUAAUUGGCCCACUUUCAAUAUUGUGUGCCUUAGGCAACAGGGAGACCACAGAAGAGAAAGAGAGGAAGAGAGAUGGGGAAUGCUGGUUGAUGGAGCAGGUGGAGGACGAGCACACCCAACAUUUAUCGAUUUAGUUCACUGUCUUUGUGGGUGGGGUUCAUGGUACCCCAAAACAAUGACAAUAGUAACAUCAAAGAUCACUGAUCACAGAUCACUGUAACAGAUACAAUAAUGAAAAAGUUUGAAGUGUUGUAAGAAUCACCAAACUGUGACACCGAGACACAAAGUGAGCGCAUGCUGUUAAAAAUGGCAUCGAUAGACUUGCCGAUGCCAGGUUGCCACAAACCUUCAAUGAGUAAAAGAUGCAGUAUCUGUGAAGUACAAUAAAGCAAAGCAUGAUAGAGCAAGGUGUGCCUGCACAUUCUCUCCCUCAGUCCUGCAGGAAUUCCAUUUGAAAGAGGGAAAUCUGAAGCCAGAAUGGUUAUGGGUAAGUCAAUUGACUCCCUGGCGGACCAGGAUUCAAAUCAAGGUCUGAUUCUGGUCCAGUGGCUGCUGUGGUUACCAACAUUUGCAAAGCCUUCAUGAAGAGUCCAAGUAAGCCUGGAGAGAAACCAAUCCUAAGGCUUGUCAAAGAGAAAGAGAUCAGGGCCACCCUCUUGGGCUAGCUUCUGACACACCAGUCUCCAGAAAUCCUGAGUACUAACAAGUGACCCACCAGACUGAUGCCUUUCCAACCAAGUCCUCUGUGACUCUGUGCUUCAGUCUUCCCUGCUGUGAAACGGGAGAGGAAGAUCCUUGAGUUCUU